GAUCAUGGGCUCAGGAUGAACGCUGGCGGCGUGCUUAACACAUGCAAGUCGAACGAAGCACUUCAUAAAGUUUACUUUAAGAAGUGACUUAGUGGCGGACGGGUGAGUAACGCGUGGGUAACCUGCCUUACACAGGGGGAUAACAGUUAGAAAUGACUGCUAAUACCGCAUAAAACAGCAGAGUCGCAUGACUCAACUGUCAAAGAUUUAUCGGUGUAAGAUGGACCCGCGUCUGAUUAG
RNAcentral lists this ribosomal RNA (240 nucleotides) under uncultured bacterium. RNAcentral's name for it is "partial 16S ribosomal RNA". It matches the Rfam family "Bacterial small subunit ribosomal RNA", at positions 15 to 244 of the family's 1533-position model. The record is from RNAcentral.